This 492-nucleotide ribosomal RNA is filed under the name uncultured bacterium. RNAcentral's name for it is "bacterial SSU rRNA". It matches the Rfam family "Bacterial small subunit ribosomal RNA", at positions 30 to 502 of the family's 1533-position model. The record is from RNAcentral.
UGAACGCUGGCGGCGUGCCUAAUACAUGCAAGUCGAGCGAAUGGAUUAAGAGCUUGCUCUUAUGAAGUUAGCGGCGGACGGGUGAGUAACACGUGGGUAACCUGCCCAUAAGACUGGGAUAACUCCGGGAAACCGGGGCUAAUACCGGAUAACAUUUUGAACUGCAUGGUUCGAAAUUGAAAGGCGGCUUCGGCUGUCACUUAUGGAUGGACCCGCGUCGCAUUAGCUAGUUGGUGAGGUAACGGCUCACCAAGGCAACGAUGCGUAGCCGACCUGAGAGGGUGAUCGGCCACACUGGGACUGAGACACGGCCCAGACUCCUACGGGAGGCAGCAGUAGGGAAUCUUCCGCAAUGGACGAAAGUCUGACGGAGCAACGCCGCGUGAGUGAUGAAGGCUUUCGGGUCGUAAAACUCUGUUGUUAGGGAAGAACAAGUGCUAGUUGAAUAAGCUGGCACCUUGACGGUACCUAACCAGAAAGCCACGGCUAACU